UGUUCUGUGGCUUAGUUGGUUAAAGCGCCGGUCUAGCGAAGUCGAGGGUUUGAAUCCCACCAGAACGC
Non-coding RNA from Aedes albopictus (Asian tiger mosquito), 68 nucleotides. The record is from Rfam. Lineage: Eukaryota; Metazoa; Arthropoda; Insecta; Diptera; Culicidae.